GCUACGGCUGCGGCUAUGGCAGCUGCAGCUGUGGCAGGGAAAGAGGAAGAGGAAGGAAGAAGGGAAGGAGAGGAAGAAGAGAAGGGGAAGAAGGGGCUGCGGCUGCGGCGAUGGCAGCUGCAGUUGGAAGAGAAGAAGGAGAGGAGCAGGGGAGGAAGAAGAGGCUGCGGCCGUGGCUGAGGCUACGACUACAGUAGUGCAGCUGGGAAAGAAGAGAAGGAAAGGAAGAAGAAGAGAAAGGAAAAGGGAAGAAGAUAGGAAGAGGAGAAGGGGAGGCAGCUGCGGCAGUGGCAGCUACAACUGGAAGAGAAGGAGAGGAAAUAGAGUAGAGGAGGAAGAAGAGGCUACG
This 349-nucleotide long non-coding RNA is filed under the name Musa acuminata (dwarf banana). RNAcentral's name for it is "long non-coding RNA (MACU_LNC007046)". The record is from RNAcentral. Lineage: Eukaryota; Viridiplantae; Streptophyta; Magnoliopsida; Zingiberales; Musaceae.